Molecule: transfer RNA, 66 nt
Filed under: Bankia setacea
Lineage: Eukaryota; Metazoa; Mollusca; Bivalvia; Myida; Teredinidae
Description: tRNA-Leu
Rfam family: tRNA
About the family: Transfer RNA (tRNA) molecules are approximately 80 nucleotides in length. Their secondary structure includes four short double-helical elements and three loops (D, anti-codon, and T loops).
Source: RNAcentral
AUUGAAGUGGUAGAAUUAAAUGCGUCGGAUUUAAGCUCCGGAGGNAGGGUUUAGCCCUCUUUAAUA